Molecule: unclassified non-coding RNA, 341 nt
Filed under: Zea mays
Lineage: Eukaryota; Viridiplantae; Streptophyta; Magnoliopsida; Poales; Poaceae
Description: misc RNA Zm00001eb382630
Source: RNAcentral
ACCGCGCCCCCUUCUCGGCCCCAUCUCCAUGGCGUCCGGCCGGAUCUCCAGUGCCACGCCGGCUUGGAGCUUCCAUGGCCGCAUCUCUUUUUCCCUGUGAUUUCAUGGCGUCCCUGCGUCGCAUAUUCCCUGAGCUCGUCGCCAUGGCUGCACCCAGCUGCUCCUCCAUGGCUCGUCUCUCCUUGGCACCCAGCCGAGCCCCUCCGCACGCCCAGAUGCCUGCUCGCUGCCAGCUCGCCCUGCUCUCUGUUUUCUCUCUCUGCCGCGCCCGCUGUUGGUUCGCUCUGCUCGCGGCCAGAGCUCCACUGCGUCGCGCCCAAGCUUCUGGCGUCUUCCUCCCC